CGAACGCUGGCGGCGUGCUUACCACAUGCACGUCGAACGGAAAGGCCCUGCUUUUGUGGGGUGCUCGAGUGGCGAACGGGUGAGUAACACGUGAGUAACCUGCCCUUGACUUUGGGAUAACUUCAGGAAACUGGGGCUAAUACCGGAUAGGAGCUCCUGCUGCAUGGUGGGGGUUGGAAAGUUUCGGCGGUUGGGGAUGGACUCGCGGCUUAUCAGCUUGUUGGUGGGGUAGUGGCUUACCAAGGCUUUGACGGGUAGCCGGCCUGAGAGGGUGACCGGCCACAUUGGGACUGAGAUACGGCCCAGACUCCUACGGGAGGCAGCAGUGGGGAAUAUUGCACAAUGGGCGGAAGCCUGAUGCAGCAACGCCGCGUGCGGGAUGAAGGCCUUCGGGUUGUAAACCGCUUACGCCUGUGACGAAGCGUGAGUGACGGUAAUGGGUAAAGAAGCACCGGCUAACUACGUG
This 466-nucleotide ribosomal RNA is filed under the name uncultured bacterium. RNAcentral's name for it is "partial 16S ribosomal RNA". It matches the Rfam family "Bacterial small subunit ribosomal RNA", at positions 30 to 507 of the family's 1533-position model. The record is from RNAcentral.